Molecule: long non-coding RNA, 311 nt
Filed under: Salmo salar (Atlantic salmon)
Lineage: Eukaryota; Metazoa; Chordata; Actinopteri; Salmoniformes; Salmonidae
Description: lncRNA (ENSSSAG00000101587.1, ENSSSAG00020008426.1)
Source: RNAcentral
AGCUUAUCAGGCUCUACCAGACACUGACUCCAGCGCAUGGAGAGUGGAGAGAGCCCAGGCGCAGUGAAGAGUGAGGGAGAGUGGCGGAGUGGUAGAUAAUUAUACCGCAGCGGGGCUAAAACUACCAGAGGCAGAGGAGCACAAAGAUUUACAGACAGAUACAGAGGAGUCUGUUGUGAAGGUGAAACGCAGACAAAUCGUUUACUGACACGUACAUCCAAGGAGCAUGUUCAACUAUCUGUUGAUAGUUAAGGCACUGAAAACAGACAAUUAUCAUCUCAUUACCACUCCACUCCUUCACUGUAAUCCUG